RNAcentral lists this ribosomal RNA (377 nucleotides) under Citrobacter freundii. Its description in RNAcentral is "bacterial SSU rRNA". It matches the Rfam family "Bacterial small subunit ribosomal RNA", at positions 93 to 473 of the family's 1533-position model. Lineage: Bacteria; Pseudomonadati; Pseudomonadota; Gammaproteobacteria; Enterobacterales; Enterobacteriaceae. The record is from RNAcentral.
GAGUGGCGGACGGGUGAGUAAUGUCUGGGAAACUGCCCGAUGGAGGGGGAUAACUACUGGAAACGGUAGCUAAUACCGCAUAACGUCGCAAGACCAAAGAGGGGGACCUUCGGGCCUCUUGCCAUCGGAUGUGCCCAGAUGGGAUUAGCUAGUAGGUGGGGUAACGGCUCACCUAGGCGACGAUCCCUAGCUGGUCUGAGAGGAUGACCAGCCACACUGGAACUGAGACACGGUCCAGACUCCUACGGGAGGCAGCAGUGGGGAAUAUUGCACAAUGGGCGCAAGCCUGAUGCAGCCAUGCCGCGUGUAUGAAGAAGGCCUUCGGGUUGUAAAGUACUUUCAGCGAGGAGGAAGGCGUUGUGGUUAAUAACCGCAAC